This 253-nucleotide ribosomal RNA is filed under the name uncultured bacterium. RNAcentral's name for it is "partial 16S ribosomal RNA". It matches the Rfam family "Bacterial small subunit ribosomal RNA", at positions 524 to 776 of the family's 1533-position model. The record is from RNAcentral.
UACGGAGGGUGCAAGCGUUAUCCGGAUUCACUGGGUUUAAAGGGUGCGUAGGAGGGCAGGUAAGUCAGUGGUGAAAUCUCCAAGCUUAACUUGGAAACUGCCGUUGAUACUAUCUGUCUUGAAUGUUGUGGAGGUGAGCGGAAUAUGUCAUGUAGCGGUGAAAUGCUUAGAUAUGACAUAGAACACCAAUUGCGAAGGCAGCUCACUACACAAUUAUUGACUCUGAGGCACGAAAGCGUGGGGAUCAAACAGG